This is an RNA transcript of Chroicocephalus ridibundus (black-headed gull), 2031 nucleotides long. It is a transcript of the gene named cyclin dependent kinase 7, with no coding region annotated. Lineage: Eukaryota; Metazoa; Chordata; Aves; Charadriiformes; Laridae. The record is from RefSeq and is a predicted model, not a curated record. The transcript is spliced from 13 exons.
GGCGCGGGGCGGGGCGGGGCGCGGCCGGCGGGCCGGAAGCGGCGCGGCGGUGUUAAAGCCCCGUCGCCGGCUGUGCGUCUCCCCCGGCGCGGCCCGGCCCCGGUGGCGGCGGCGGUCAUGGCCACGGACGCGCGGGCCCGCGCCAAGCGAUACGAGAAGCUCGACUUCUUGGGGGAGGGACAGUUUGCUACCGUCUAUAAAGCGAGGGAUAAGAACACCAACCAAAUCGUGGCUAUUAAAAAGAUUAAACUGGGACAUAGAUCAGAAGCUAAAGAUGGAAUCAACAGAACAGCCCUCAGGGAGAUAAAAUUGUUGCAGGAACUAAGCCAUACGAAUAUUAUUGGUCUUCUAGAUGCAUUUGGGCACAAGUCCAAUAUUAGCUUGGUAUUUGAUUUUAUGGAAACGGAUCUCGAGGUUAUUAUAAAGGAUACCAGUAUUGUGUUGACACAAUCUCACAUCAAGGCAUAUAUGUUGAUGACGCUUCAAGGAUUAGAAUAUUUACAUCAGCACUGGAUUCUACAUAGGGAUCUUAAACCAAAUAAUUUGUUGUUAGAUGAAAAUGGGGUUUUAAAAUUGGCUGACUUCGGCUUGGCAAAAUCUUUUGGAAGCCCAAAUAGAGUUUAUACACACCAAGUAGUAACAAGGUGGUACCGAGCCCCAGAACUACUGUUUGGUGCUAGAAUGUAUGGUGUUGGUGUCGAUAUGUGGGCUGUUGGUUGUAUUUUAGCUGAAUUGCUCCUCAGGGUUCCUUUUUUGCCUGGAGACUCUGAUCUUGACCAGCUGACACGGAUAUUUGAAACGCUGGGCACUCCAACAGAAGAACAGUGGCCUGGUAUGACCAGUCUUCCAGAUUAUGUCGCAUUUAAGUCUUUCCCUGGAAUGCCACUUCAGCAUAUCUUUAGCGCAGCUGGUGAUGAUUUGCUCAAUCUUCUGCAAGGCUUGUUCAUUUUCAAUCCUUGUACAAGGGUUACAGCUACUCAGGCAUUGAAACAGAAGUAUUUCAGCAACCGACCAGGACCCACUCCAGGAAAUCAGCUGCCAAGACCCAAUUGUCCCGCAGAAGUUGUAAAGGAGCAACAAAAUGCACUUUUAAAUGUAAAAAGGAAAAGAACAGAAGGAAUAGAUCAAGGAUAAAUGCUUUAGGGUGGGAAUGACUUCCUUCUGUGUUCUAACUUCUAAAUGAAGCCUCCAGUCUUCCGCAAACAGCAGCAUGUACUUCAUAUCUUCACGGCAAGAAAAGCUCUGAGGACUCGAGACCUAUAUCUGACACUAAAUUACUCAGACCUUCCAGUACAGAGGGAAAUACUGGUUCUUAAACUUGGAGUUGAUCUUAACAGCUGGAAUAUGCUAGAUAGCAGCUGUCAGGAUUACCAAAAAAAUUGAUUUUUUGAUUGCCGUGGAUGGUGGAUGAAAAUGGCCCAACUCCGAACAAUUGAAAAACGCUGUAAUAGUCACUGGAUGGUUAUUUUGUAAUAUUUUCAUAUGUAAAAUCUGAAUUUAAUAUUUUCUUGCUGAAACUGAGGUUUAUUAACCCUACUUUUUUUUCCUAAAUAAAAGUAUUUGUAAGCAAAAUAAGAUUCCUUUCUCUGUUUUACUGUCUCAUUACUUUGACUUAUGCUGUGAGGUAGUAACUGUCAGAAGUGCUUGCUGGCUACAGAUCUACACAGACUAAUUUUGCAGAACCCUUAUGCUGAACCACAUGCUGUUCUGUACAGAUGCACACCCUAAGGAGGAAAACGGCAAAUACAGCCUUCUCACCUGGAGCUUAGAUGUACGUGUGAUUGCCAGCCCUAUAAUAAAUGUUGGAAAAAACUGCAUCAUUUUAAGGGGAAGGCAGGAUGCUUUUUUGUUCCAGUUAAUAUGCCAAUGUAAUAACAAAUGAGUUUGCAUGUGCUCUCUCAAUGAGCAUUAAGACUUUCCAGGGACACAUCCACUAUAUUGAAAACAAUAUGAUCCAGAGAUUGAACGUGAAGUAUUGAGGGGUUGGUUUUGUUGCACACUCCAGUCUUCCGGGAGAAAUUGUCUGAGAGC